Molecule: long non-coding RNA, 465 nt
Organism: Pogoniulus pusillus (Red-fronted tinkerbird)
Lineage: Eukaryota; Metazoa; Chordata; Aves; Piciformes; Lybiidae
Exons: 4
Source: RefSeq, a predicted model, not a curated record
GGAGAUGGCAGCAUUUGGAAGCAAUCCGAAGGAGGACUUGGAUCUAUGCACUGUUUCACACAGGACCAUAUUUCACUGGAGGUGCAUGAGAACGUCAGAGGAAUGGCUCUAAGAAAGCAUCGCAUCUGGGAUGGUUUGCGCAUGCCCAUGCCAUUUCUCUCUCUGACUGCAGACCUGCCAGCUGGUGUUACCCCUCCCGGUCACUUGGAGAUUGCUUCAUGGACCACAAGGUCUCUCCUGGCCAAAGGCUGAAAACCUGCUUGGAGGAACCUGAAGGAGCAAGAAUAAGCCUCUCUUAGGGAAACAUCAGAGGACUGUGAAUUUGGGACCACCAGCCUAUAUAGAAUGACAAGAGUCAUCUUAGAUGUGAAAGCAUUAACAUUUCCUUGGCUCUCCAUUAUCUCUAGCAUUUUGAAAUUUUCUGCAGAAGCAGUUUGAUUGAUUCUGAUAUUUUUGUAUUGCUCU